CAAUAGCGUAUAUUAAAGUUGUUGCGGUUAAAAGCUCGUAGUUGGAUUUCGAUCGGGAACUGGUGGUCCAUCUUUUGGAUGUGCAUCUACAUAGGUCUUGGUCUCCUCUCGAAAAACGUUUCUGCGCUUGAUUGCGUGGUGCGGUGUUCGGGACUUUUACUUUGAGGAAAUUAGAGUGUUCACGGCAGGCAUACGCCUUGAAUAUAUUAGCAUGGAAUAAUAAUAUAGGAUCUUGGUUCUAUUUUGUUGGUUUCUAGAGCUAAGAUAAUGAUUAAUAGGGACAAUUGGGGGCAUUCGUAUUGACGAGUCAGAGGUGAAAUUCUUGGAUUUCGUCACGACGAACUACUGCGAAAGCAUUUGCCAAGGAUGUUUUCAUUGAUCAAGAACGAAAGUAAGGGGAUCGAAGACGAUUAGAUACCAU
This 421-nucleotide ribosomal RNA is filed under the name uncultured eukaryote. RNAcentral's name for it is "SSU rRNA". It matches the Rfam family "Eukaryotic small subunit ribosomal RNA", at positions 592 to 1018 of the family's 1831-position model. The record is from RNAcentral.